GAUGAACGCUAGCGGCAGGCUUAAUACAUGCAAGGCGAAGGGGCAGCAAUGUCACUGUCGUACGGGUGCGUAACGCGUAUGCAACCUACCUAUCACUGGGGGAUAGCCCGGGGAAAACCCGGAUUAAUACCGCAUAAAACAGGGGCACCGCAUGGUGAUAUUUGUUAAAGAUUUAUUGGUGAUAGAUGGGCAUGCGUUCG
Molecule: ribosomal RNA, 200 nt
Filed under: uncultured bacterium
Lineage: Bacteria
Description: partial 16S ribosomal RNA
Rfam family: Bacterial small subunit ribosomal RNA
Source: RNAcentral